This 499-nucleotide ribosomal RNA is filed under the name uncultured bacterium. RNAcentral describes it as "bacterial SSU rRNA". It matches the Rfam family "Bacterial small subunit ribosomal RNA", at positions 29 to 517 of the family's 1533-position model. The record is from RNAcentral.
AACAAACGCUGGCGGCGUGUCUUAAGCAUGCAAGUUGAGCGGCAAGGAGGAGAGAUCCUCCCUAGAGCGGCGGACUGGUGAGUAACGCGUGGGUAAUCUAUCGUAGGCAUGGGGAUAGUCACUAGAAAUAGUGGGUAAUACCGAAUACGUUCCAUGAGGGGAGUAUUCAUGGAAGAAAGGGUGCUACGGCACUGGCCUUAGGUGAGCUCGCGUCCCAUUAGCUAGUUGGUGAGGUAAAGGCCCACCAAGGCGAUGAUGGGUAGCCGGCCUGAGAGGGUGUACGGCCACACUGGGACUGAGAUACGGCCCAGACUCCUACGGGAGGCAGCAGCUAAGAUAUUCCGCAAUGGACGAAAGUCUGACGGAGCGACGCCGCGUGGAUGAAGAAGGCCGAAAGGUUGUAAAGUUCUUUUGCUAGGGGAGAAUAAGUGAGGGAGGGAAUGCCCUCAUGAUGACAAGGACUAGCGAAUAAGCCCCGGCAACUACGUGCCAGCAGCCG